GGUUAAGCGACUAAGCGUACACGGUGGAUGCCCUGGCAGUCAGAGGCGAUGAAGGACGUGCUAAUCUGCGAUAAGCGUCGGUAAGGUGAUAUGAACCGUUAUAACCGGCGAUUUCCGAAUGGGGAAACCCAGUGUGAUUCGUCACACUAUCAUUAACUGAAUCCAUAGGUUAAUGAGGCGAACCGGGGGAACUGAAACAUCUAAGUACCCCGAGGAAAAGAAAUCAACCGAGAUUCCCCCAGUAGCGGCGAGCGAACGGGGAGCAGCCCAGAGCCUGAAUCAGUGUGUGUGUUAGUGGAAGCGUCUGGAAAGGCGCGCGAUACAGGGUGACAGCCCCGUACACAAAAAUGCACAUGCUGUGAGCUCGAUGAGUAGGGCGGGACACGUGGUAUCCUGUCUGAAUAUGGGGGGACCAUCCUCCAAGGCUAAAUACUCCUGACUGACCGAUAGUGAACCAGUACCGUGAGGGAAAGGCGAAAAGAACCCCGGCGAGGGGAGUGAAAAAGAACCUGAAACCGUGUACGUACAAGCAGUGGGAGCACGCUUAGGCGUGUGACUGCGUACCUUUUGUAUAAUGGGUCAGCGACUUAUAUUCUGUAGCAAGGUUAACCGAAUAGGGGAGCCGAAGGGAAACCGAGUCUUAACUGGGCGUUAAGUUGCAGGGUAUAGACCCGAAACCCGGUGAUCUAGCCAUGGGCAGGUUGAAGGUUGGGUAACACUAACUGGAGGACCGAACCGACUAAUGUUGAAAAAUUAGCGGAUGACUUGUGGCUGGGGGUGAAAGGCCAAUCAAACCGGGAGAUAGCUGGUUCUCCCCGAAAGCUAUUUAGGUAGCGCCUCGUGAAUUCAUCUCCGGGGGUAGAGCACUGUUUCGGCAAGGGGGUCAUCCCGACUUACCAACCCGAUGCAAACUGCGAAUACCGGAGAAUGUUAUCACGGGAGACACACGGCGGGUGCUAACGUCCGUCGUGAAGAGGGAAACAACCCAGACCGCCAGCUAAGGUCCCAAAGUCAUGGUUAAGUGGGAAACGAUGUGGGAAGGCCCAGACAGCCAGGAUGUUGGCUUAGAAGCAGCCAUCAUUUAAAGAAAGCGUAAUAGCUCACUGGUCGAGUCGGCCUGCGCGGAAGAUGUAACGGGGCUAAACCAUGCACCGAAGCUGCGGCAGCGACGCUUAUGCGUUGUUGGGUAGGGGAGCGUUCUGUAAGCCUGUGAAGGUGUGCUGUGAGGCAUGCUGGAGGUAUCAGAAGUGCGAAUGCUGACAUAAGUAACGAUAAAGCGGGUGAAAAGCCCGCUCGCCGGAAGACCAAGGGUUCCUGUCCAACGUUAAUCGGGGCAGGGUGAGUCGACCCCUAAGGCGAGGCCGAAAGGCGUAGUCGAUGGGAAACAGGUUAAUAUUCCUGUACUUGGUGUUACUGCGAAGGGGGGACGGAGAAGGCUAUGUUGGCCGGGCGACGGUUGUCCCGGUUUAAGCGUGUAGGCUGGUUUUCCAGGCAAAUCCGGAAAAUCAAGGCUGAGGCGUGAUGACGAGGCACUACGGUGCUGAAGCAACAAAUGCCCUGCUUCCAGGAAAAGCCUCUAAGCAUCAGGUAACAUCAAAUCGUACCCCAAACCGACACAGGUGGUCAGGUAGAGAAUACCAAGGCGCUUGAGAGAACUCGGGUGAAGGAACUAGGCAAAAUGGUGCCGUAACUUCGGGAGAAGGCACGCUGAUAUGUAGGUGAAGUCCCUCGCGGAUGGAGCUGAAAUCAGUCGAAGAUACCAGCUGGCUGCAACUGUUUAUUAAAAACACAGCACUGUGCAAACACGAAAGUGGACGUAUACGGUGUGACGCCUGCCCGGUGCCGGAAGGUUAAUUGAUGGGGUUAGCGCAAGCGAAGCUCUUGAUCGAAGCCCCGGUAAACGGCGGCCGUAACUAUAACGGUCCUAAGGUAGCGAAAUUCCUUGUCGGGUAAGUUCCGACCUGCACGAAUGGCGUAAUGAUGGCCAGGCUGUCUCCACCCGAGACUCAGUGAAAUUGAACUCGCUGUGAAGAUGCAGUGUACCCGCGGCAAGACGGAAAGACCCCGUGAACCUUUACUAUAGCUUGACACUGAACAUUGAGCCUUGAUGUGUAGGAUAGGUGGGAGGCUUUGAAGUGUGGACGCCAGUCUGCAUGGAGCCGACCUUGAAAUACCACCCUUUAAUGUUUGAUGUUCUAACGU
Molecule: ribosomal RNA, 2202 nt
Filed under: Escherichia coli
Lineage: Bacteria; Pseudomonadati; Pseudomonadota; Gammaproteobacteria; Enterobacterales; Enterobacteriaceae
Description: partial 23S ribosomal RNA
Rfam family: Bacterial large subunit ribosomal RNA
Source: RNAcentral